GUAAGAAUUAUUUGGAAGUUUUGCUCUUGUACAAAAAGUUUAUACUCAUAUAUGUAUAAAAUUUUCAUCAUAAUGCAUGAAAAAUUAUUAAGUUCUCAUUUGAGUAAUUAAUACUCUUUUUACAACUUUUUGGCUAAAAUAAAAACGUUAGCAGGAAACGAUAAAAAAGGAACAAUAGUAAAAAACCGAAAAAAAACAUUAUGUUGCAUUAAUUAGACAUGCAGUAUAGAGGGUAUAAAGAGAAAAAAUAAACAAAUAGAAUAUAAUAUAAUAUUUGAGGCUAUAUUUUGUCACGUCUAAUUUUCAAGGUUAUAUGUUGAGCGUUUUAGAUUGGAGUUGAGCGUUUUCAAGGGUAUAAAGAGAAAAAAUAAACAAAUAGAAUAGAAUUAGUUGAGCGUUUUAGAUUGGAGUUGGUCUUGCGUAUAAUCAGUUGUACCGUACAAUCAGGUUGCACCUUGACCCAUUUCCUGACCCGAAUCCGCAUUCUGAUCCGAACCGUGUAAAUGACACUAUUUGGUUAUACAAAUGACACUGUCUGUAAUUGACAUUAUUCGAUUAUACAAAUAACACUACGUAUAAAUGGCAUCAUUAAAUAUAAUAAGAAGUGGCUCAAGACAAGUGCCUAAGCGGCCUUUUUAGUAUAUAUGAGGCAAUUUAUAGUAAAUUUAGUCUUCUUAAUUAACUCUCAAAAUUAUUAGAAUCGUUCACUCUUUUGGAUUUGGUUAGUUUUAUUUCAUUUUCUCUUAUAAAAAAUGGUUAAGAGCCAAAUAUCAAAACCAAAAAGUAGCAGUACUCAUAAAAAGGAUCACAAGAUUCACAACUGCCGUGUAAUAUUGUUACACGUUCUUUUGGAUAAAUUACUUAUUUUGGAUAAAAUAUGAAAAAAUAAAAUUGGGUUGGAAGACACAUUAUUUUUGAGGAGUUUAUAAAGUUGUUCACGAGCUUAAUUUGGCCAAAUAUUUUGAAUGAACGCUUAUAAUCUCCUAAACAGUUUAUAAGCUCGGCUAAACACGCUAAUUAUUAUAUAUAAAUCUAAAGUGAAGGCAAUAUUUCAACUAAUAAUUAGUACGAUGUUGUCUGUCUCGAGAGUGAUUGUAGUUGUAACAAUCUUCGCCGCCAUAUCUGCAAGCCAUGCAAGAGAAUUUCCAGGUUAUGCAGAUAAUGUUGGCGUUACAGGAAAGUGCUUUUCUAAAGGACUAGACGGUGAUGAUUCAAUAAUAUCACUACCUAGAUUGGGAAAUAUUAAUAUUUCCCGACCACCGUUACCGUCACCUCCACCACCUAGAUCACCUCCGGGACCCCACUCCCGCUUCGACUUCUCCGAUAAAUUCCUCCAAGAAGCUCUUCUUCAGAAAUUUCUUCAUUAAUAUAUGUUUAUCAAGUUGUGUAGGAUUUAGUAUUAUGUUUUGGUAGUUUGUGAAUUUGUCAAUGUGCUCAAACUGCUGGUCUAGCUAUAUGUUACAUUAAAAAUGUGUGUGUGUGUGUGUGUGUUGAAAAUUGUGUAUGUUUGAAUGUUAUGUGUAUGUUGAAAAUGAUGUAUCACCAACACUUAAUUUGUAAUUAAGUGUUAGUUAUCCCAGACUCUCAGCAUGGUUUUAUAUUAAUGAAUAAAGUUAUUUAUUAAUU
Salvia miltiorrhiza (redroot sage) is the source of this 1626-nucleotide long non-coding RNA. RefSeq lists it as uncharacterized. Lineage: Eukaryota; Viridiplantae; Streptophyta; Magnoliopsida; Lamiales; Lamiaceae. The record is from RefSeq and is a predicted model, not a curated record. The transcript has 2 exons.